RNAcentral lists this ribosomal RNA (492 nucleotides) under uncultured bacterium. RNAcentral describes it as "partial 16S ribosomal RNA". It matches the Rfam family "Bacterial small subunit ribosomal RNA", at positions 29 to 507 of the family's 1533-position model. The record is from RNAcentral.
AGUGAACGCUGGCGGUAGGCCUAACACAUGCAAGUCGAACGGCAGCACAGUAAGAGCUUGCUCUUACGGGUGGCGAGUGGCGGACGGGUGAGGAAUACAUCGGAAUCUACUUUUUCGUGGGGGAUAACGUAGGGAAACUUACGCUAAUACCGCAUACGACCUACGGGUGAAAGCAGGGGAUCUUCGGACCUUGCGCGAUUGAAUGAGCCGAUGUCGGAUUAGCUAGUUGGCGGGGUAAAGGCCCACCAGGGCGACGAUCCGUAGCUGGUCUGAGAGGAUGAUCAGCGACACUGGAACGGAGACACGGUCCAGACUCCUACGGGAGGCAGCAGUGGGGAAUAUGGGACAAUGGGCGCAAGCCUGAUCCAGCCAUACCGCGUGGGUGAAGAAGGCCUUGGGGUUGUAAAGCCCUUUUGUUGGGAAAGAAAAGCAGCAGGUUAAGACCCCGCUGUUCUGACGGUACCCAAAGAAUAAGCACCGGCUAACUUCGUG